Molecule: ribosomal RNA, 501 nt
Filed under: uncultured bacterium
Lineage: Bacteria
Description: partial 16S ribosomal RNA
Rfam family: Bacterial small subunit ribosomal RNA
Source: RNAcentral
AUUGAACGCUGGCGGCAUGCCUUACACAUGCAAGUCGAGCGGCAGCACGGGUGCUUGCACCUGGUGGCGAGUGGCGAACGGGUGAGUAAUACAUCGGAACGUACCUUAUCGUGGGGGAUAACGCAGCGAAAGCUGUGCUAAUACCGCAUGCGCCCUGAGGGGGAAAGCGGGGGAUCGCAAGACCUCGCGCGAUUAGAGCGGCCGAUGCCUGAUUAGCUUGUUGGUGGGGUAAAAGCCCACCAAGGCGACGAUCAGUAGCUGGUCUGAGAGGACGAUCAGCCACACUGGGACUGAGACACGGCCCAGACUCCUACGGGAGGCAGCAGUGGGGAAUUUUGGACAAUGGGGGCAACCCUGAUCCAGCAAUGCCGCGUGAGUGAAGAAGGCCUUCGGGUUGUAAAGCUCUUUUGUCAGGGAAGAAACACCGGCUCUAACACAGUCCGGGAAUGACGGUACCUGAAGAAUAAGCACCGGCUAACUACGUGCCAGCCGCCGCCGUAA